This 343-nucleotide long non-coding RNA is filed under the name Mytilus galloprovincialis (Mediterranean mussel). Lineage: Eukaryota; Metazoa; Mollusca; Bivalvia; Mytilida; Mytilidae. The record is from RNAcentral.
AUGAUGUUGGGCUACUGCCACAAACUUGUUCAUGUUCUUUACUGUCCUGAAACAAUCUAACAAUUAUUCAACUGUGAUUACUUAUAUGUAAUAGAAAUUACUUACUAGGUAUAUCAAAAGGGCAAUAUGCCAAUUAAUUAGUCUUAUUGCCAUAUAACCGAAAAGAGCAGAUUCCUCCAGGGAAGAAAACGCGCCAAAGGGGGAGAUAAUGCCCUUAAAAAAAAUCUGCCGUACCGAUGACAAAAAAUAAUGUCAUUUUUUUACCAGGCAAUAAGUAUGCUUCAAAUUGGUGUACACAAAUAAUCAUCUUCUGUUAGAUUAGCAAAAGCUGCAGAGUCACUAC